UCGGAUAUGGUGUAACGGCCAACAUUGCCGCCUCUCAUGAGAAUGAACGCGGCAGCUCGGGGUUCGAUUCCCCGUAUCCGAA
This is a non-coding RNA of Schizophyllum amplum, 82 nucleotides long. The record is from the annotation of a GenBank genome assembly. NCBI's taxonomy places the organism in Eukaryota, Fungi, Basidiomycota, Agaricomycetes, Agaricales, Schizophyllaceae.